This 2359-nucleotide long non-coding RNA is filed under the name Populus trichocarpa (black cottonwood). RNAcentral describes it as "long non-coding RNA (PTRI_LNC000849)". The record is from RNAcentral. Lineage: Eukaryota; Viridiplantae; Streptophyta; Magnoliopsida; Malpighiales; Salicaceae.
CUCAGUCCAUUAGGUGUGCCUUUCUUGGAUAUAGUAUUACUCAAAAGGGUUAUCUAUGUUUUGAUCCACACACUAAUCGAGUUCAUGUUUCUAGAAAUGUUAUUUUCUUUGAAAAUCAAUGUUUCUUUCCUUUGUCUUCCUCCUCAGCCACUUCUCUUGCCUCUUUACCCUUUUUUGAUGACUCUUCUCCUUUGCAAAGUGUUCCAGUUGACCGGUUCCAGCCCCAUUUGGUGUACAAAAGAAGACUUCCUAUGCUGCCCCCUUCAGCUUCUGUCUUGUCAUCUGCUCCUCCUUUGCAGCCUUCUAUGGCUUCUGAGGUACCUGUUUUGGCUCCUUUACGCCGCUCCUCUAGAAUAUCUGUACCACCUGCUAAGUAUGGAUUUACCUCAUCUGUGGCACAUCAUUCUACUGCUGCUCUCUCUGUCACUUUAUCCUCUAUUUCUAUCCCUACUGGCUAUUCACAGGCAGCUAAAGAACCAUGCUGGCAGCAGGCUAUGCAGGAAGAGUUACAUGCUCUAGAAGCUAAUCAGACUUGGGAUAUUGUUGAUUGUCCUUCUGGUGUGACUCCUCUUGGAUGUCGAUGGGUUUAUUCUGUUAAAAUCAAGGCUGAUGGCAGCUUGGACAGAUAUAAAGCACGAUUGGUGGCUCUUGGAAACCAUCAAAAAUAUGGAGAACAUUAUGAGGAGACCUUUGCUCCAGUGGCUAAAAUGGGUACUAUUCGUACAAUUUUGGCCAUCGCAGCUUCAAAACAUUGGUGUUUGCACCAAUUGGAUGUGAAGAAUGCCUUUCUUCAUGGUGAUCUCACUGAAGAUAUAUAUAUGCGCCCACCAGCUGGCUUAUUUUCCACUCCUACCUCUGCUGUGUGUAAGUUACGCCGCUCCUUGUAUGGUCUCAAACAGGCUCCUCGUGCUUGGUAUGAGAGAUUUACUUCUGUCCUUCUUCAAUUUGAUUUCCUCAAAAGUAAAUAUGAUGCCUCUUUGUUUCUACGUAAGACUGCAAAUGGAGUUGUGUUUCUAUUGGUGUAUGUUGAUGAUAUAGUCAUAACCGGUACUGAUUUAGCUCUGAUUGAUCAACUCAAGCAGCAUCUGCAGAAAUCCUUUCACAUGAAGGAUCUAGGUCCUCUAACAUAUUUUCUUGGUCUAGAGAUUCAUGCUGGUUCCCAUGGCAUUUUUUUAUCCCAACACAAGUAUGCCAUGGACUUGGUGGCAGCUGCUGGUCUCCAGCAUUUGCCACCCCUUGAUACUCCAAUGGAAAUUAAUCUCAAGCUCCGCAAAGAUGAGGGUGAUUUAUUAUCAGACCCAGCUGCAUAUCGUACACUCGUGGGCAGCUUACUCUAUCUUACACACACUAGACCUGAUAUUUCUUUUGCUGUACAGCAGGUUAGUCAGUUUAUGGCUUCUCCCAGGCACCUCCAUAUGGCUGCUGUUCGCCGCAUCCUUCGUUAUAUUCAUGGCACCAUUCGAAGUGGCCUUUGCUAUCCUGCUGGUACUUCCCUUGAUCUUAUUGCUUAUAGUGAUGCUGAUUAUGCCGGGUGUUCCGACACUCGCCGUUCCAUUACUGGUUGGUGUAUGUUCCUUGGCCCUGCACUUAUUUCCUGGAAGAGCAAGAAACAAGAUCGUGUUUCCAAGUCUUCUACUGAGUCUGAAUACCGGGCUAUGUCCCAAGCUUGUUCCGAAAUCAUCUGGCUCCACGGGCUCCUUGCUGAGCUGGGUUUUCAGCAGUGCACUCCUACUCCUCUUUUUGCUGAUAAUACCAGUGCUAUUCAUCUUACUGCCAAUCCUAUCUUCCAUGAGCGCACAAAGCAUAUUGAGAUGGAUUGCCACUUCAUUCGUGACGCAUUUGCGGCUCAGACUAUAUCACUUCCACAUGUGUCCAGCAAUCUUCAGGUGGCUGAUGUUUUUACCAAGACUCUCACCCGACAACGUCAUCAUUUUCUUACUACCAAAUUGAUGCUUAUGGACCAGCCCGCAUCAAUUUGAGGGGGGAUGUCAAUAGAAAGACUUAAGUCAAAGCAUACAGCUAUUACAGCUGUAUGCUUGAAUAGGAAAUAGGAAAGUCACAAGCAUACAGCUAUUGCAGCUGUAUGCUUGAAUAGGAAAUAGGAAAGUCACAGCUGUUACAACUGUAUGCUGGAAUAAGAAUAUAAAUGAUUGAAUAGGAAAGGAAAUUGACCUUAUUUAAAUCCCUAGAUUCCCUCUUUGUAAUGGCCAUGUACAGCUCAACUUUUCCUAUAUAAUGAAAGCCUAGUCGAAAGGUGAAGGCAAUUCAAACCAUUCUGUUAACAGGGUCAUUUAUUGGAUAUGCAAUGUUAGGCCUAAAAUAGGAAGACAACAUUUUAGGGAUCCAAAGAAGAUUAAAC